GACGUAGGGCGCGAGCGUUGUCCGGAUUUAUUGGGCGUAAAGAGCUCGUAGGCGGCUUGUCGCGUCGACUGUGAAAACUUGGGGCUCAACCCCAAGCUUGCAGUCGAUACGGGCAGGCUAGAGUUCGGUAGGGGAGACUGGAAUUCCUGGUGUAGCGGUGAAAUGCGCAGAUAUCAGGAGGAACACCGGUGGCGAAGGCGGUUCUCUGGGCAUUACCUGACGCUGAGGAGCGAAAGUGUGGGGAGCGAACAGG
Molecule: ribosomal RNA, 253 nt
Filed under: uncultured bacterium
Lineage: Bacteria
Description: partial 16S ribosomal RNA
Rfam family: Bacterial small subunit ribosomal RNA
Source: RNAcentral